Molecule: ribosomal RNA, 380 nt
Filed under: uncultured bacterium
Lineage: Bacteria
Description: bacterial SSU rRNA
Rfam family: Bacterial small subunit ribosomal RNA
Source: RNAcentral
AAUCAACGCUGGCGGCGUGCCUCAGACAUGCAAGUCGAACGAUUAAAGCUCUCUUCGGAGAGUGCAUAAAGUGGCGCACGGGUGAGUAACACGUAAGUAAUCUACCCUCGAGUGGGGAAUAACGUCCGGAAACGGACGCUAAUACCGCAUAGUGCAGCGGCAUCGCAAGAUGACAGUUGUUAAAGAUUUAUCGCUUGAAGAGGAGCUUGCGGCAGAUAGCUAGUUGGUAAGGUAAUGGCUUACCAAGGCUACGAUCUGUAACCGGUCUAAGAGGACGGUCGGUCACACUGACACUGAAUAACGGGUCAGACUCUACGGAGGCAGCAGUCGGGAAUUUUGGGCAAUGGGCGAAAGCCUGACCCAGCAACGCCGCGUGAAGG